GAUGAACGCUAGCGGCAGGCUUAAUACAUGCAAGUCGUACGGGAUCCGAGGUAGCAAUACUUUGGUGAGAGUGGCGCACGGGUGCGUAACACGUAUGCAACCUACCUUUAACCGGGACACAACCCACCGAAAGGUGAGCUAAUAUCCCAUAACACUGCGAAGUGGCAUCACUUUGCAGUUAAAACUCCGGUGGUUAUUGAUGGGCAUGCGCGACAUUAGCUAGUUGGUGAGGUAACGGCCCACCAAGGCUACGAUGUCUAGGGGUUCUGAGAGGAUUAUCCCCCACACUGGUACUGAGACACGGACCAGACUCCUACGGGAGGCAGCAGUAAGGAAUAUUGGUCAAUGGGCGCAAGCCUGAACCAGCCAUGCCGCGUGAAGGAUGACGGCCCUAUGGGUUGUAAACUUCUUUUGUACGGGAAAAACCACCGGUCGUGUAUCGGUGCUGAUGGUACCGUAAGAAUAAGCAUCGGCUAACUCCGUGCCAGCAGCCGCGGUAAUACGU
This 505-nucleotide ribosomal RNA is filed under the name uncultured bacterium. RNAcentral describes it as "bacterial SSU rRNA". It matches the Rfam family "Bacterial small subunit ribosomal RNA", at positions 28 to 528 of the family's 1533-position model. The record is from RNAcentral.